UCAAUCGAUUACAAACCGUAAGCAACGUAGACAUGAGGUUUUCCUAAUGUUACUAUGGUAUCAGACUCAGAAAUCAUCAAUUUCUGAGGGUACCGAUCCUAGCCUGUCAAUUUCUUCACCAAAACCAUCAUUAUUUCAUCUUCGAAAAUCACCACCACCAUUGAUUAAUCAUCAUCUUCUGAUGUUGCCACUAUAGAUAGAAAUUUAAAGGGUGAUCUCAUAAAUUAUCUCAGAUUUGAGUAUAAUUCGUCUCCUCUAUGGGUUUCCAUCUACAUCUACAUCAACAAUUGGUAAAUUUCUUCAUCCAUCUCCAUUAAUAGUGUUUUUUAGUACGAAUUAGGGUUUUUAUGUGGUUUGAUACCUAUGCUAUGUCAACAGACAGGAUUAAGUAUGAUUUUUUGAUUUGAAAUUUGGUUGAAUUACUUGAGCUCUUGAUGCUUUUGGUCACCGUUUUCAAUUGGAGCUGGAUUCAUUUACCUCAACUGGUUCAAUUCAAAUCUCUGCUGGGUCUGAGCGCGUUCUAGUCCGCCACACAAAGGUCUAGUUAAGGCGAAAACUUAAAGUCGUUCCACUCAAUUGGAUUCAGCAGAAGGUUGAGAGUUUGUGGGUGAAAAUGAUUCUGCACGUGGUGCUUAACGGCUUAUUCUUCAUACUUCCCAUCUCAAUUCUUAUUUCAAGGAAGUCCUUACUGCGGUGUUGAAGUAUCUUGUGCUUUUCGUGGGGUUUCUGCGAUUGGACUUCGAAUUGGAGUUGGUGAGUUACAUAAGUACAUGUUGGAGUUCUCUUUGUUGAGUUUGUAUACACUUAGUAUGCAACCUGGUGUUAAGUUUGCAUGUGUGUUCAAUAUGCAACCUGUUGUUCUUCUAUUUUUAAUGCAGUUGAAGUUCAUCUUCAAUGGUGCUAUUUACUUUUAUUUCUUAUGUGAAUGGAUAAUCCAAUGUGCACUGGCCUUAUGGAGAAUAAUCAAAGGUUAAUAAUACAGUUGAAGACUUUGCUGCACGGUGCGCUGCUGCAAUAACUGAAUAAGGGGAUUUUUUUUUUCCUUUUCAAUAUGCUAUUCAAGUUCUUGCAUUUUGUCUCAUUUCUGCUUUGCUGCAUCUAAUAAUGUUGCUGAAUGAGUGCUUUCUACAUCUCAUUGGCUCACUGGCUUGUUAUAUUUCCACCCUGGUAUAAUGUAUCAAUGACAAAUCUGAUGGUGUUGAGG
Molecule: long non-coding RNA, 1204 nt
Organism: Papaver somniferum (opium poppy)
Lineage: Eukaryota; Viridiplantae; Streptophyta; Magnoliopsida; Ranunculales; Papaveraceae
Exons: 2
Source: RefSeq, a predicted model, not a curated record